RNAcentral lists this ribosomal RNA (459 nucleotides) under uncultured bacterium. Its description in RNAcentral is "partial 16S ribosomal RNA". It matches the Rfam family "Bacterial small subunit ribosomal RNA", at positions 338 to 795 of the family's 1533-position model. The record is from RNAcentral.
CCUACGGGGUGCAGCAGUGAGGAAUAUUGGUCAAUGGGCGGGAGCCUGAACCAGCCAAGUCGCGUGAGGGAAGACGGUCCUAUGGAUUGUAAACCUCUUUAGGCGGGAGCAAUGCCGUGCACCCGUGCCCGGAGGGAGAGUUCCCGCAGAAUCAGCAUCGGCUAACUCCGUGCCCGCAGCCGCGGUAAUACGGAGGAUGCGAGCGUUAUCCGGAUUUAUUGGGUUUAAAGGGUGCGUAGGCGGAAUUUUAAGUCAGCGGGAAAAGUUCCGGGCUCAACCCGGGCCGGCCGUUGAAACUGGGGAUCUUGAGUGGGCGAGAAGUAUGCGGAAUGCGUGGGGUAGCGGGGAAAUGCAUAGAUAUCACGCAGAACUCCGAUUGCGAAGGCAGCAGACCGGCGCCCGACUGACGCUGAGGCACGAAAGCGUGGGGAUCGAACAGGAUUAGAUACCCGAGUAGUC